GAUGAACGCUGGCGGCGUGCUUAACACAUGCAAGUCGAACGAGGAAGCCCAGCUUGCUGGGUGGAUUAGUGGCGAACGGGUGAGUAACACGUGAGUAACUUGCCCUUAACUCUGGGAUAAGCCUGGGAAACUGGGUCUAAUACCGGAUAGGAGCGUCCACCGCAUGGUGGGUGUUGGAAAGAUUUAUCGGUUUUGGAUGGACUCGCGGCCUAUCAGCUUGUUGGUGAGGUAAUGGCUCACCAAGGCGACGACGGGUAGCCGGCCUGAGAGGGUGACCGGCCCCACUGAGACUAAGGCACGGCCCAGACUCCUACACGGAGCAUCAGUGGGGAAUAUUGCCCAAUAAGCGCAAGCCUGAUGCGGCGACACCGCGUGAGGGAUGACAGCCUUCGGGUUGUGAACCUCUUUCAGAAGGGAAGAAGCGAAAGUGACGGUACCUGCAGAAGAAGCCCCGGCUAACUACGUG
Molecule: ribosomal RNA, 466 nt
Filed under: uncultured bacterium
Lineage: Bacteria
Description: partial 16S ribosomal RNA
Rfam family: Bacterial small subunit ribosomal RNA
Source: RNAcentral